Molecule: long non-coding RNA, 2272 nt
Filed under: Phasianus colchicus (ring-necked pheasant)
Lineage: Eukaryota; Metazoa; Chordata; Aves; Galliformes; Phasianidae
Description: lncRNA (ENSPCLG00000015771.1)
Source: RNAcentral
GCGGAGCGGAGCGCCGCGGGGCUCCGCGGGGCCGGGGGCGGCCGGCAGGACGCGGCCGGGAGCGGCUCGUGGCACCGCUGUGCGCGGCGGCGCGGGGCGGAACAGCGCGGCCGGAGCCGGGAGCCGGGAGCGGAGCUGAAGAGCCGCGGCCGCAGCGCAGGUUUCCCUUCGAUGUGCGCAGAUGUGCGCGGCCGCAGGGGCUGCAGGGCGAUGCCGAAGGCGGCGUUAGAAGCACAUCCUGACACUUCUGUUUCCCGUUUCCAUCCGAGCCCGUUUCUCCCCCGGUCCCACGCGCCGCGAAGCGGCACUCCGUGCUCCCAGCGGCCCGGAGCAGCACCGGAGCUCACGGCCGUCACCGCCUGCGGCCGCCGCUCAGCUCCGAAGGCACCGCAACACUCGGCACCCGCACGGCAGCGCGGACACCAUCGGCAUCCAGCUCUGCUACAUCCAGCUCUGCACAUCCAGCUCUGCUACAUCCAGCUCUGCACAUCCAGCUCUGCUACAUCCAACUCUGCACCUCCAACUCUGCUACAUCCAACUCUACACAUCCAACUCUACACCUCCAACUCUACACCUCCAACUCUGCUACAUCCAACUCUACACAUCCAGUUCUGCACCUCCAGCUCCACACCUCCAGCUCCGCGCCCUUCGUGCGUUUCCCACAGCAGAGCCGGCCGGGCAGAUGCGCCGCGAGCGGCCGGCAGGAGAUGCUGCCCGGCCAGCCGUGAGCCGCAGCCGGGCCGAAGGCAGCGGCACGUCGGCGUCCCGCGGCCCCCGGCUUUGCGCGCUCGCUGCCGGGCGCUCGCUCUGCUUCCGCCGCUCCGCUCCGCACCGCCCGUCCCCUCCCCGCCGCUCUCGGAGCGGCUCCGCGGCGCUGUGGCGUUUCUCUCCUUUUGUUUAUUCCCAGGAAGUCCCUCUUCCGCCGCCUGCGCAGCGCUCGGCCCCGAUUUAACCCGGGCAUUAACUUGGGACAGGGAAAGGAAACAGAACGGGGGGGGGUUGCAGGAAAAAAACAGAAAAAUGGUAAAAAAGCACAGGGACGGAGAGCUGUGCCCCAUACAGAGCUGUGCCCCCAUACAGAGCUGUGCCCCACACAGAGCUGUGCCCCCACAUAGAGCUGUGCCCCUACAUAGAGCUGUGCCCCACACAGAGCUGUGCCCCUACAUAGAGCUGUGCCCCACACAGAGCUGUGCCCCACACAGAGCUGUGCCCCACACAGAGCUGUGCCCCUACAUAGAGCUGUGCCCCACACAGAGCUGUGCCCCCACAUAGAGCUGUGCCCCAUACAGAGCUGUAUCCCAAUACAGAGCUGUACCCCAUAAAAAGCUGUGCCACAUACAGAGCUGUAUCCCAUAAAAAGCUGUGCCCCAUACAGAGCUGUGCCCCACAGAGCUGUGCCCUGUACUGAGCUGUACCCCUACACAGAGCUGUGCCCCCACACAGAGCUGCACCCCAUACAGAGCUGUGCCCCACACAGAGCUGUGUAUGUGCCCCAUACACAGCUAUACCCCUACACAGAGCUGUGCCCCACACAGAGCUGUACCCCACACAGAGCUGUACCCCCAUAUAGAGCUGUGCCCCCACAUAGAGCUGUGCCCCCAUACAGAGCUGUGCCCCAUACAGAGCUGUGCCCCCAUACAGAGCUGUGCCCCCAUACAGAGCUGUGCCCCAUACAGAGCUGUGCCCCCACACACUGCAGCCCAACGUUCAGCCGUGCCUUUGUGUGCCCACCUGCACACAGCCAGGCAGUGCGGCUGCUUGGCUCCAUGGGGCACACAGAGGGCAAGCAGGAUGCCAUGCGGGGCUGUAUGGGGCCAUGCAGGGCAGUGCAGGGCUGUAUGGGGCCAUGCAGGGCUGUAUGGGGCCGUGCAGGGCUGUAUGGGGCCGUGCAGGGCUGUAUGGGGCCAUGCAGGGCUGUACAGGGCCAUGCAGGGCUGUAUGGGGCGGUGCAGGGCUCUACAGGGCUGUAUGGAGCCAUGCAGGGCUCUACGGGGCCAUGCAGGGCUGUAUGGGCCAUGCAGGGUCAUGUAGGGCUGUAUCGUCCACGCAGGGCUGUAUGGGGCCUUGCAGGGCUUAUGGGGCCAUGCAGGGCUGCAUGGGGCUGUCCGGGCCGUGCAGGGCUGUAUGGUGCAUGCAGGGCUGCAUGGGGCUGUAUGGUGCAUGCAGGGCUGUAUGGUGCAUGCAGGGCUGCAUGGGGCUGUAUGGUGCAUGCAGGGCUGUAUGGUGCAUGCAGGGCUGCAUGGGGCUGUAUGGGGCCGUGCAGGGCUGUAUG